AUAUCUCUCUGUACGGGAAGGAUGAGAAGCUUCGACUAAGGUUCGAUUCGAGCGCAACGAGAAAGCGUUGCCGCAGGCAACGACCCGAAGGGCGAAGCGCGCAGCGCUGAGUCAUCCUUCCCCCACCACCA
RNAcentral lists this small RNA (131 nucleotides) under Salmonella enterica. RNAcentral's name for it is "RtT sRNA". It matches the Rfam family "RtT RNA". From Rfam's summary of the family: This family represents a bacterial cis-regulatory element known as RtT RNA. The exact function of RtT is unknown although it is thought that it may be involved in changing the cellular response in relation to amino acid starvation. RNAcentral also lists the same sequence under 1 other name. The record is from RNAcentral. Lineage: Bacteria; Pseudomonadati; Pseudomonadota; Gammaproteobacteria; Enterobacterales; Enterobacteriaceae.